CCUGCCGGAUCAGUGGCGAACGGGUGAGUACACGUGAGCAAUCUGCCCCGGACUCUGGGAUAAGCGCUGGAAACGGCGUCUAAUACCGGAUACGACGCGCGAAGGCAUCUUCUGCGCGUGGAAAGAAUUUCGGUCCGGGAUGAGCUCGCGGCCUAUCAGCUUGUUGGUGAGGUAAUGGCUCACCAAGGCGACGACGGGUAGCCGGCCUGAGAGGGUGACCGGCCACACUGGGACUGAGACACGGCCCAGACUCCUACGGGAGGCAGCAGUGGGGAAUAUUGCACAAUGGGCGCAAGCCUGAUGCAGCAACGCCGCGUGAGGGACGACGGCCUUCGGGUUGUAAACCUCUUUUGGCAGGGAAGAAGCGAAAGUGACGGUACCUGCAGAAAAAGCACCGGCUAACUACGUGCCAGCAGCCGCGGUAAUACGUAGGGUGCAAGCGUUGUCCGGAAUUAUUGGGCGUAAAGAGCUCGUAGGCGGAUCGUCGCGUCUGCUGUGAAAACCCGAGGCUCAACCUCGGGGCCUGCAGUGGGUACAGGCGGACUAGAGUGCGGUACGGGAGAUUGGCAUUCCUGGGUGUAACGGUGGAAUGCGGCGAUAUUCGGGGGGACAC
RNAcentral lists this ribosomal RNA (613 nucleotides) under uncultured Microbacterium sp. RNAcentral describes it as "bacterial SSU rRNA". It matches the Rfam family "Bacterial small subunit ribosomal RNA", at positions 83 to 709 of the family's 1533-position model. The record is from RNAcentral. Lineage: Bacteria; Bacillati; Actinomycetota; Actinomycetes; Micrococcales; Microbacteriaceae.